This 130-nucleotide transfer-messenger RNA is filed under the name Candidatus Limosilactobacillus intestinipullorum. RNAcentral's name for it is "partial transfer-messenger RNA". It matches the Rfam family "transfer-messenger RNA", at positions 1 to 124 of the family's 374-position model. From Rfam's summary of the family: Bacterial tmRNA, also known as 10Sa RNA or SsrA, is named for its dual tRNA and mRNA-like properties. Its role is to liberate the mRNA from a stalled ribosome. To accomplish this part of the tmRNA is used as a reading frame that ends in a translation stop signal. Lineage: Bacteria; Bacillati; Bacillota; Bacilli; Lactobacillales; Lactobacillaceae. The record is from RNAcentral.
GGGGAUGUUUUUUGGAUUCGACAGGUAUAGGUCGAGUUUCAACUGCGUUUCGAAGGUUGCGUCUUCGUAAAAACGCUCAGUUUUAAAUUAUAACUGCAAACAAUAAUUCAAACUCUUACGCAGUUGCUGC